UUUGUAAAGAAAAGUGUAUA
RNAcentral lists this small nuclear RNA (20 nucleotides) under Arabidopsis thaliana (thale cress). RNAcentral's name for it is "snRNA_15762". The record is from RNAcentral. Lineage: Eukaryota; Viridiplantae; Streptophyta; Magnoliopsida; Brassicales; Brassicaceae.